GAUGAACGCUGGCGGCGUGCUUAACACAUGCAAGUCGAACGAAGCACUUUAUUUGAUUUCCUUCGGGACUGAUUAUUUUGUGACUGAGUGGCGUACGGGUGAGUAACGCGUGGUUAACCUGCCCUGUACAGGGGGAUAACAGUUGGAAACGGCUGCUACUACCGCAUAAGCGCACGGCAUCGCAUGAUGCAGUGUGAAAAACUCCGGUGGUAUAAGAUGGACCCGCGUUGGAUUAGCUAGUUGGUGAGGUAACGGCCCACCAAGGCGACGAUCCAUAGCCGACAUGAGAGGGGGACCGGCGACAUUGGGAAUGAGACACGGACCAAACUCCUACGGGAGGGAGCAGUGGGGAAUAUUGCACAAUGGGCGAAAGCCUGAUGAAGCGACGCCGCGUGAGAGAAGAAGUAUUUCGGUAUGUAAAGCUCUAUCAGAAGAGAAGAUAAUGACGGUACCUGACUAAGAAGCACCGGCUAAAUACGUG
This 481-nucleotide ribosomal RNA is filed under the name uncultured bacterium. RNAcentral's name for it is "partial 16S ribosomal RNA". It matches the Rfam family "Bacterial small subunit ribosomal RNA", at positions 28 to 507 of the family's 1533-position model. The record is from RNAcentral.